RNAcentral lists this ribosomal RNA (498 nucleotides) under uncultured bacterium. RNAcentral describes it as "partial 16S ribosomal RNA". It matches the Rfam family "Bacterial small subunit ribosomal RNA", at positions 30 to 523 of the family's 1533-position model. The record is from RNAcentral.
AUUGAACGCUGGCGGCAUGCCUUACACAUGCAAGUCGAACGGUAACAGGUCUUCGGAUGCUGACGAGUGGUGAACGGGUGAGUAAUACAUCGGAACGUGCCCGAUCGUGGGGGAUAACGAAGCGAAAGCUUUGCUAAUACCGCAUAAGAUCUACGGAUGAAAGCAGGGGACCGCAAGGCCUUGCGCGAACGGAGCGGCCGAUGGCAGAUUAGGUAGUUGGUGGGAUAAAAGCUUACCUAGCCGACGAUCUGUAGCUGGUCUGAGAGGACGACCAGCCACACUGGGACUGAGACACGGCCCAGACUCCUACGGGAGGCAGCAGUGGGGAAUUUUGGACAAUGGGCGAAAGCCUGAUCCAGCCAUGCCGCGUGCAGGAUGAAGGCCUUCGGGUUGUAAACUGCUUUUGUACGGAACGAAAAGACUCUUUCUAAUAAAGAGGGUCCAUGACGGUACCGUAAGAAUAAGCACCGGCUAACUACGUGCCAGCCGCCGCCGUAA